This is a long non-coding RNA of Galeopterus variegatus (Sunda flying lemur), 673 nucleotides long. RefSeq lists it as uncharacterized. NCBI's taxonomy places the organism in Eukaryota, Metazoa, Chordata, Mammalia, Dermoptera, Cynocephalidae. The transcript is spliced from 6 exons. The record is from RefSeq and is a predicted model, not a curated record.
GGCGACACAGCAUUUCCCACAAGCCUCUGCGGUCCAUUCUCUAGGGACCUAAGGAGAUUUUUCUUUUUCUUUUUUUCUCAGCACGGAUUCUUGUUACCUGGAGAACAGGCCCUGAUGGAUCAAGACUAGUCUCUUUCCAGGUGGUUACGAGACUUCAAGCCAGUCGAAUCCUACCUGAGGACCAAAGGUGGUUUUGAGGUGCUCUGUCAGCCUGGAAACCCACCGUAAGGACAGACAGAUGGCAGGGCCAUUACGUGCUGUGACUCAGCCACACCACCCAUGGGAAUGGAGUCAGUGUGAUCACACUCACUAAUCACCAAGAAAGGGAAACAAAACAAACAAGAAAACAGAGAAGCAGCAUCCACAGCACAGGAAACCAGAGGCCGUCAGCUUCUGCUCUCUUCCCAGGACUGAGAGCUGCAGGCUCAGAAGCCAGACCACCUGGGCUCAAUCCUGACACUGGCACUUUAGAAGAACAUGCACUGAGGUCUCAGCUGAUAUGUCACUUCUUUGCAGAGGCUUUUCCUAACCACCCAACGGUCUGUGUUGAAUAUCCUGUGGGUCAGGACAUUUUUGGUGCCCAAACGUGGGGCACUGGAUACGGGGGACACCGUGAGGAAGACAGCACAUCAGAGGGUCGACCACUGAAAAUGAAAGAGUAAAACCUUCGUCU